AUUGAACGCUGGCGGCAUGCCUUACACAUGCAAGUCGAACGGUAACAGGUCUUCGGAUGCUGACGGGUGGCGAACGGGUGAGUAAUACAUCGGAACGUGCCCGAGAGUGGGGGAUAACGAAGCGAAAGCUUUGCUAAUACCGCAUACGAUCUCAGGAUGAAAGCAGGGGACCGCAAGGCCUUGCGCUCACGGAGCGGCCGAUGGCAGAUUAGGUAGUUGGUGGGAUAAAAGCUUACCAAGCCGACGAGCUGUAGCUGGUCUGAGAGGACGACCAGCCACACUGGGACUGAGACACGGCCCAGACUCCUACGGGAGGCAGCAGUGGGGAAUUUUGGACAAUGGGCGCAAGCCUGAUCCAGCCAUGCCGCGUGCAGGAUGAAGGCCUUCGGGUUGUAAACUGCUUUCGUACGGAACGAAAAGACUCUGGUUAAUACCUGGGGUCCAUGACGGUACCGUAAGAAUAAGCACCGGCUAACUACGUGCCAGCCGCCGCGGUAA
This 498-nucleotide ribosomal RNA is filed under the name uncultured bacterium. RNAcentral's name for it is "partial 16S ribosomal RNA". It matches the Rfam family "Bacterial small subunit ribosomal RNA", at positions 30 to 523 of the family's 1533-position model. The record is from RNAcentral.